Oryza sativa Japonica Group (Japanese rice) is the source of this 204-nucleotide microRNA precursor. It matches the Rfam family "MIR812 microRNA precursor family". Lineage: Eukaryota; Viridiplantae; Streptophyta; Magnoliopsida; Poales; Poaceae. The record is from Rfam.
AAAAAGAUAAACCCUAAUUUCCGUGCCCAACGUUUGAUCAUUCAUCUUAUUUGAAAAAAUUAUAAAAAAAAUUAAAAAGAUAAGUUACGCAUAAAAUAUUAAUCAUGUUUUAUCAUCUAACAACAAUGAAAAUACGAAUUAUAAAAAAAAUCAUAUAAGACGGACAGUCAAAGUUGGACACGGAAAUAUAGGGUUUGCCUUUUU